GACGUAGGGCGCGAGCGUUGUCCGGAUUUAUUGGGCGUAAAGAGCUCGUAGGCGGCUUGUUGCGUCGUCCGUGAAAUCCCAUGGCUCAACUGUGGGCUUGCGGUCGAUACGGGCAGGCUUGAGUUCGGUAGGGGAGACUGGAAUUCCUGGUGUAGCGGUGAAAUGCGCAGAUAUCAGGAGGAACACCGGUGGCGAAGGCGGUUCUCUGGGCAUUACCUGACGCUGAGGAGCGAAAGUGUGGGGAGCGAACAGG
This 253-nucleotide ribosomal RNA is filed under the name uncultured bacterium. Its description in RNAcentral is "partial 16S ribosomal RNA". It matches the Rfam family "Bacterial small subunit ribosomal RNA", at positions 524 to 776 of the family's 1533-position model. The record is from RNAcentral.